AAUAACAAAAGAACCGGAAAAUGGAGAGUUUUAAAUUAUUAAAGCAGAAAACACAUAAAAAAAAUUAUUACGAGUCUUUAACUAUACUAAAAGCUUUUAAAAAAAGGUAAGCAAAACAGACAGUCGUAGAAAACGAAGACAGGCCGUGAUUGUUUCCUCCUUUUUUUUGUUGUAGCAGAAGAAAUCUAAGAGAAGAACUUGUAGGUGCUUGCAUUGAUAAUGAUGGUUCUGAGGCCACCAAUGGGUGCUAGGAUCGUCAAUAUAACUCCUACUAUAAUGCAGAACUGCAAUUUUUCAUUUUUCACACAACACCAAACCAAACACAAAAGUUAUUAGUGUACAAGGAAAAAAAUCAAGAACUAUAGAUCAUUAGAAAAAAGAAAACAUACCCAAUUAAUCGUCCAGGAUAGACCAAACCUCUUUGGUUUCUUGAGAAUGAGCCAGAUAAUGCAUGGAAGCUGUAGUGGCAACAUUAAUAUGUGUGUUAUAUCAUUAAUCAUAACUAUAGUUUCUAAGAAAAAGAAUGAAACCAAUAUGAAUGAUUACGUAGUAAGUUGUUGGUAGAACCGGAAAAUGGAGAGUUUUAAAUUAUUAAAGCAGAAAACACAUAAAAAAAAUUAUUACGAGUCUUUAACUAUACUAAAAGCUUUUAAAAAAAGGUAAGCAAAACAGACAGUCGUAGAAAACGAAGACAGGCCGUGAUUGUUUCCUCCUUUUUUUUGUUGUAGCAGAAGAAAUCUAAGAGAAGAACUUGUAGGUGCUUGCAUUGAUAAUGAUGGUUCUGAGGCCACCAAUGGGUGCUAGGAUCGUCAAUAUAACUCCUACUAUAAUGCAGAACUGCAAUUUUUCAUUUUUCACACAACACCAA
This 868-nucleotide long non-coding RNA is filed under the name Brassica napus (rape). RNAcentral describes it as "long non-coding RNA (BNAP_LNC005920)". Lineage: Eukaryota; Viridiplantae; Streptophyta; Magnoliopsida; Brassicales; Brassicaceae. The record is from RNAcentral.